UACAUAACUUGUCCCGCCUAUCCACAUGCCAAGCUUCUGAAUGCAACAAAACCGAAUUGGAGCAAUGUACAAGGAUGAACUCAAAAAUACACAGAUCUUAUUUCCUCCAGGAUUACAUGGAUAGCUAUAUUAAUUGCUCUGUACAAUGCACGAGCUACUUCCUAUUCUUUAGUUCCUCAGGACUUCAAGGACAUUUUUUAUGCUAAUCCCAGGAACCACCAGAAAAUCCCCACAGCAGUCAAAGCUGAAGGCCAUGCGGAUGCAUAGAUAUCAUUGGUUUGCAACCAAAAACAAGCACCUGUAUCAUUUUGACAUUUUCAUUUCACCUUGCAUUAUUAUUAGUAGUAGAAGGAACUUCAGUUUGAUUGGAUGGAGUUUGGGCUCGAGGCGUGCUGACAUUUGCCAUGCCAUAUUCAUCAUGAAGUGUUCCAAACUCAUUCCACUCAACCCCAGGCUCAGUGCUCCACAUGUCUGUGAUGCUAACACCAGCAUCUGAUAAUAGCCAGUAAUCCGCAUCACUAUCUACAUCUGAGGGAACAAUCUUCAUGAUCCCGCUCACAAAAUCCUGUGAGGUGUUAAGAUCUGAGCACAUUCUAU
Molecule: unclassified non-coding RNA, 597 nt
Filed under: Hevea brasiliensis (rubber tree)
Lineage: Eukaryota; Viridiplantae; Streptophyta; Magnoliopsida; Malpighiales; Euphorbiaceae
Source: RNAcentral